Non-coding RNA from Ictidomys tridecemlineatus (thirteen-lined ground squirrel), 350 nucleotides. NCBI's taxonomy places the organism in Eukaryota, Metazoa, Chordata, Mammalia, Rodentia, Sciuridae. The record is from RefSeq and is a predicted model, not a curated record.
UGGACUUGCACAUUCUAGUUUGAUUUCACUCUUACUACAAAUUUACUUUUAAAUCAUAUACAACAAAAAUCAGACCAGCUUCUUCUAGAAGCUCCCUGUAUAUUUUAUGUCAACUUCAGUGCUUUUGCUCAUGUUUUUCUCCUGUUUCCAGCUGAGGAGCAUGGGACAGAGUGAAAAAGAUUUGUACACACAAUGAAAGUUUAUAUUUCAGAACAUUUCUGGAGAGAAACAUCAGGAGCAGUUGAGAAAUCAGUAAGCCCUUUAGAAAUGAAGAGAAAUUCUGCUGAAUAGUUUUUUAAAGUCUUCUUCCAGAGUCAUCUGUGUCAUUAAAAAUGGUUUUUGUCUAAGUC